RNAcentral lists this transfer RNA (71 nucleotides) under Marmota marmota marmota (Alpine marmot). It matches the Rfam family "tRNA". Rfam says of the family: Transfer RNA (tRNA) molecules are approximately 80 nucleotides in length. Their secondary structure includes four short double-helical elements and three loops (D, anti-codon, and T loops). RNAcentral also lists the same sequence under 1 other name. Lineage: Eukaryota; Metazoa; Chordata; Mammalia; Rodentia; Sciuridae. The record is from Rfam by way of RNAcentral.
GUGGUUGUGGCUCAGGGGUAGAGUGCUUGCCUGGCACGUGUGAGGCACUGGGUUCAAUUCUCAGCACCACA